This 651-nucleotide ribosomal RNA is filed under the name Escherichia coli. Its description in RNAcentral is "bacterial SSU rRNA". It matches the Rfam family "Bacterial small subunit ribosomal RNA", at positions 871 to 1522 of the family's 1533-position model. Lineage: Bacteria; Pseudomonadati; Pseudomonadota; Gammaproteobacteria; Enterobacterales; Enterobacteriaceae. The record is from RNAcentral.
GCCUGGGGAGUACGGCCGCAAGGUUAAAACUCAAAUGAAUUGACGGGGGCCCGCACAAGCGGUGGAGCAUGUGGUUUAAUUCGAUGCAACGCGAAGAACCUUACCUGGUCUUGACAUCCACGGAAGUUUUCAGAGAUGAGAAUGUGCCUUCGGGAACCGUGAGACAGGUGCUGCAUGGCUGUCGUCAGCUCGUGUUGUGAAAUGUUGGGUUAAGUCCCGCAACGAGCGCAACCCUUAUCCUUUGUUGCCAGCGGUCCGGCCGGGAACUCAAAGGAGACUGCCAGUGAUAAACUGGAGGAAGGUGGGGAUGACGUCAAGUCAUCAUGGCCCUUACGACCAGGGCUACACACGUGCUACAAUGGCGCAUACAAAGAGAAGCGACCUCGCGAGAGCAAGCGGACCUCAUAAAGUGCGUCGUAGUCCGGAUUGGAGUCUGCAACUCGACUCCAUGAAGUCGGAAUCGCUAGUAAUCGUGGAUCAGAAUGCCACGGUGAAUACGUUCCCGGGCCUUGUACACACCGCCCGUCACACCAUGGGAGUGGGUUGCAAAAGAAGUAGGUAGCUUAACCUUCGGGAGGGCGCUUACCACUUUGUGAUUCAUGACUGGGGUGAAGUCGUAACAAGGUAACCGUAGGGGAACCUGCGGUUGGA